Molecule: ribosomal RNA, 301 nt
Filed under: uncultured bacterium
Lineage: Bacteria
Description: partial 16S ribosomal RNA
Rfam family: Bacterial small subunit ribosomal RNA
Source: RNAcentral
CAGUCGCCGCGGUAAUACGAAGGGUGCAAGCGUUACUCGGAAUUACUGGGCGUAAAGCGUGCGUAGGUGGUGGUUUAAGUCCGUUGUGAAAGCCCUGGGCUCAACCUGGGAAUUGCAGUGGAUACUGGGUCACUAGAGUGUGGUAGAGGAUAGUGGAAUUUCCGGUGUAGCAGUGAAAUGCGUAGAGAUCGGAAGGAACAUCUGUGGCGAAGGCGACUAUCUGGGCCAACACUGACACUGAGGCACGAAAGCGUGGGGAGCAAACAGGAUUAGAUACCCGAGUAGUCCUGUCUCUUAUACA